This 92-nucleotide small nucleolar RNA is filed under the name Rhinolophus ferrumequinum (greater horseshoe bat). Its description in RNAcentral is "Small nucleolar RNA U13 (ENSRFEG00010009514.1)". It matches the Rfam family "Small nucleolar RNA U13". The record is from Rfam by way of RNAcentral. Lineage: Eukaryota; Metazoa; Chordata; Mammalia; Chiroptera; Rhinolophidae.
GGCCUUUUGUAGUUCAUAAGCCUGAUGAUUGGGUGUUCACACUGUUGUGUGAGAUGUGCCUCCCUCAAACCUUGUUGUGGGCCGGCCUGGUG